Molecule: ribosomal RNA, 441 nt
Filed under: Omorgus suberosus
Lineage: Eukaryota; Metazoa; Arthropoda; Insecta; Coleoptera; Trogidae
Description: partial 16S ribosomal RNA
Rfam family: Bacterial large subunit ribosomal RNA
Source: RNAcentral
GCUUUUUGAAAUAAUUUAAAGUCUGACCUGCCCAAUGAUUAUUUGAAUGGCUGCGGUAUUUUGACCGUACUAAGGUAGCAUAAUAAUUAGUUUUUUAAUUGAAAGCUGGUAUGAAUGGUUGGACGAGAAAAUAGCUGUCUCAAUUUAAUUUUAAUUAGAAUUUUAUCUUUAAGUUAAAAAGCUUAAAUAAGUUUAAAAGACGAGAAGACCCUAUAGAGUUUUAUAUUUAUUUAUUAUUGUAAAUUUAAAGAAUUUUUUUUUUUAUUAAUAAAUAAAUAUUUUGUUGGGGUGACAAAAAAAUUAAAAAAACUUUUUUUAUUUUAAAAUCAUUGAUUUAUGAAUAAGUGAUCCAUUUAUUAUGAUUAAAAGAUUAAAUUACCUUAGGGAUAACAGCGUAAUUUUUUUUAAGAGUUCAUAUCGAAAAAAAAGAUUGCGACCUCA